UGCAAGUCGACGCUUCUUACUUAUCGACUUCGGUUCACCAAGUAAGAGGAGUGGCGAACGUGUGUUGAGUAACACGUGGGUAACCUGCCCAUCAGAGGGGGAUAACACUUGGAAACAGGUAGACUAAUACCGCAUAAUUCACUUUACCGCAUGGUAAAGUGAUGAAAGGCGCUUUUGCGUCACUGAUGGAUGGACCCGCGGUGCAUUAGCUAGUUGGUAGGGUAAUGGCCUACCAAGGCAACGAUGCAUAGCCGACCUGAGAGGGUGAUCGGCCACACUGGGACUGAGACACGGCCCAGACUCCUACGGGAGGCAGCAGUAGGGAAUCUUCGGCAAUGGACGAAAGUCUGACCGAGCAACGCCGCGUGAGUGAAGAAGGUUUUCGGAUCGUAAAACUCUGUUGUUAGAGAAGAACAAGGAUGAGAGUAAAACGUUCAUCCCUUGACGGUAUCUAACCAGAAAGCCACGGCUAACUACGUGCCAGCAGCCGCGGUAAUACGUAGGUGGCAAGCGUUGUCCGGAUUUAUUGGGCGUAAAGCGAGCGCAGGCGGUUCUUUAAGUCUGAUGUGAAAGCCCCCGGCUCAACCGGGGAGGGUCAUUGGAAACUGGAGAACUUGAGUGCAGAAGAGGAGAGUGGAAUUCCAUGUGUAGCGGUGAAAUGCGUAGAUAUAUGGAGGAACACCAGUGGCGAAAGCGACUCUCUGGUCUGUAACUGACGCUGAGGCUCGAAAGCCGUGGGGGA
Molecule: ribosomal RNA, 742 nt
Filed under: uncultured bacterium
Lineage: Bacteria
Description: bacterial SSU rRNA
Rfam family: Bacterial small subunit ribosomal RNA
Source: RNAcentral